AGAACUUCGGUUCUUAGCGGCGGACGGGUGAGUAACACGUGGGUAACCUGCCUCAAAGAGGGGGAUAGCCUCCCGAAAGGGAGAUUAAUACCGCAUAAUAUCGGGAUCUCGCAUGAGAACUUGAUUAAAGGAGCAAUCCGCUUUGAGAUGGACCCGCGGCGCAUUAGCUAGUUGGUGAGGUAACGGCUUACCAAGGGGACGAUGCGUAGCCGACCUGAGAGGGUGAUCGGCCACAUGGAACUCAUGACACGGUCCGGACUC
RNAcentral lists this unclassified non-coding RNA (261 nucleotides) under uncultured bacterium. Its description in RNAcentral is "partial contains 16S ribosomal RNA and 16S-23S ribosomal RNA intergenic spacer region". It matches the Rfam family "Bacterial small subunit ribosomal RNA", at positions 74 to 338 of the family's 1533-position model. The record is from RNAcentral.